RNAcentral lists this long non-coding RNA (1225 nucleotides) under Phoenix dactylifera (date palm). Its description in RNAcentral is "long non-coding RNA (PDAC_LNC002763)". Lineage: Eukaryota; Viridiplantae; Streptophyta; Magnoliopsida; Arecales; Arecaceae. The record is from RNAcentral.
UUAAUCUUCUGACAACGAUGAAGGAUUGAAUCAGAGAAUUUCCUGGUAUUGACCAGGUUCAUUCUGCGAGCAGCAACAACUGGCAUCGAUCCAAGAAGGCAUUUUUUUUGGUGGUUGAUGUGUUUAUUCUAAAGCCUGCGGCAAUGCAGCACGGUCUGGAAGGACACUGAAGUCAAUUCCCUCUAAAGGAGAGAGAGGCCUGCUUGUUAGUUGUUAAUGCCUUUAGUUUAUAGGAUUAAACAAACAAUCCAACAACUCUAGUGACGAGACCCUUAAAUUCCAUGGAGAAAAUGCUGCCCCUCUCCUUUCCAUUCUGCAUUUAAAAACAGACAGCCCAGUGAGAUUUGCAUCUCCACAUAUAAACAAUUGCCUACUAAUUCUAUCACAAGGUCAGCCAACCCAAAGUUGGUUUUAUUGUGGUUUUAUUGUGCUCUAAUGCUUAGAAAAGAUUCAUAUCUUCUCUUUGCUCUUGGUAGGGAGGAAGAAAGACUGCGUGACUGAGAUAAGGGUAGGUCAUCCACACGGGUUUCAUGGGGACUAAGGGAUUCACUCUUCUCUUCAUUCUCAUCUUGGCAUCGCUCAUCUCAGUUUCAUCUGCUGGUAGGUUUGAGCGAAACCCAACGAUUUCAAAUAUUCUCAAAACAACUGUGCUUCAAUCUUCUUAGAAAUAUUUGGUUUAAAGCUGCCUGUUUUUCUCGAGUUCAGGAAUUCUUUCUUCGAAGACGACACGCUAUAUUGAUCUUAUAAUUAAACUUUUUGUCUUCGUUUUUGCAGUCCUCUUUGAAUAAAAACUCUGAGGCUUACCAGAUUUGUUUUUCCAACAUCUAGCAUAUUUUGCAUGCAAAACAAACUGUGUGUUAAGGUUUUAGCUUUCUCGGUAAUACAUGACCAGAAUUCGGCAGUUAUGAGCAAAUAUUGAUGUUUCAGGCAAAAGCUCAAUAUCUGUUCAUGAACUAACCCAUGAAAAACAUAUAUAUCUUCGUUAUUGAUACCUAUGAUGAAAUAUCUUUUCUAUAAUCGUCCUGGGGUUUACAAAUCAACAUCAGCAAGAAAUAUUGAAGUAGCUUGCUCUAUGAUGUGGAAUAAAUACUACUACUUUCGCAACUCAUGCUAUGCUUUAGAUGCAGUGCUUGACAACAUCUAAAUAUCAUAUUAAUGCUCUUUAUUCAUGACUUUAUCUGCUGUUCAAUAUACUAGAACAUUCUAAGAAACUUUGAUAAGUUUC